Pipistrellus kuhlii (Kuhl's pipistrelle) is the source of this 717-nucleotide long non-coding RNA. RefSeq lists it as uncharacterized. Lineage: Eukaryota; Metazoa; Chordata; Mammalia; Chiroptera; Vespertilionidae. The transcript is spliced from 3 exons. The record is from RefSeq and is a predicted model, not a curated record.
CUGCACAAGCCCUGACCAGGGCCCAGACCAGGGAGGAGCCUGCAACCAAGCUUAGGGCGUCUCUGGCAUCCUCAUGGGUUUUGACAAAUUAGUUUGGAAUUCCCAGAAACGGUUUCCAAAACUAGAAGUGCCAUGUGGAGAGGAACAGCUGCACCCGAGGACCAGAGCCUUGUGCUCAGACUCUGACAUACACUCAGUUUUAACCUGUUUCUUCAUAAAUGGGGACAAUAACCACGGAGCUGCCCUGAGGACACAAAGAGAAGGUGAGAAGGCGGAGGCUCCAGUGUUUCCGUCGCUUGCUUACGGCCAAUAGUAACAGUUGGACCAGGAGUUCAAGUCCACAUGGACUGAUUCCAGGCCCCUGUGCUUAGUACUGUGUCCUUCGGAACAUCUGAGGCUGAAGAGGGAUGCUGGGCACGGCCCAGAGACUCAGCUGUCAGCCAAUUUGGGCUCUAGGUUACAUGCCAAAUAAUAAACCUCAUGCAGAUGCCAACCCUCAGUGCCUUUUCACUCUUUUUUUUUUUUUUUACAUUCUUCUUUAACUCUCUACCUAAGGCAUUAAAAUAUGUAUCUUCAGAACCAAGAAACUAAAAAGUCCAAAAAGAAAAGGUCAUAUUUUGAAAUAUCAAACUGACAUUGUAACUCCAAACUCUUGACGGACUAGCCAGUGCUCACAAGAGGAAGGGCAGAGGGGGAGCAGCAGUGAGCGGAGCCCCC